Molecule: long non-coding RNA, 946 nt
Organism: Daktulosphaira vitifoliae (grape phylloxera)
Lineage: Eukaryota; Metazoa; Arthropoda; Insecta; Hemiptera; Phylloxeridae
Exons: 3
Source: RefSeq, a predicted model, not a curated record
UUCAACGAUACAUCAAACGAUCACAAAUCGUAUCUAAUCGAAGAUAUUUUCUGAAAAAUUGAAAAAUUUCCCUCGUUCCCCGUAAAUGGAGGGAAACCUCCAAAAAAAUUACAAAUUUAAAAAUCGCUCAUUUUUUCAAUUUUUUUACUUAAAACUGCUAUAACUUUUUUAAAAAUCAACAAAUUAAUUAAAUUAAUUUUUAGUUCGAUGUGCUUUAAAAGCGUGUUUUUUAGUUUUUUUAAACUAUAUUUAUUUUUAUUGAAACCUUAGAUAUUUCUCUUUCAUUCUACUACAAGUAGUCGUGGAUUUUAUAUCAAAAAGUAUUUUAUAGGAGAGUAAUGAUAAACAAGUUUAAAAAUAUAAGCGAUUUGAAAUUGUAAUUCAUCAAAGAAGUUAACAGCCUAGCUGAAUUGUGAUCGAUAAAUGUAGCAUGGUGUAACUACGCGCAAGAUAAUCUAAAACACCAAAACUACACAAUGAACAAGCAAUCUUCUCACUAGUUUAACUCCCCUUCAGAUCGAUAAAAGACGAGAUUAAAUUUUUUCAUAUAGUUACCAUGAUGCGCAUAAUCGAACAAGGAAUACCUUUUAUCGAUAUAACGUUUGCAAAUAUUGAAGUCAAAAUGUGCCGUUCAAAAUUUACUGUUUAUCAUCGCGUGGUUCGACAAAUUAAGUUGAAAAAGUUGCCAUUUUGAAACCCUCCUUAUGGGCAUGUAAAGGGUCAAAUGUUCACAAAAAUAUACCAAAUUAUAGGAAGCAAUACAGGAACAUUUUUGGUACAUAAAUCAGACAUAGAUUAAAUUUUGAAAGAAAUCCAUAAUGACAUAAUGAAUAAGGAGACAAUACACUUUUUGCUCAACACCACAUGGUUUGGUUUCAUUUUUCGUUAUGAAAUACUACCAAAUGAUUUACGGGACGAAUGAAUGAAUUAAAUUGAUAUGUGAACU